This 199-nucleotide ribosomal RNA is filed under the name uncultured bacterium. RNAcentral's name for it is "partial 16S ribosomal RNA". It matches the Rfam family "Bacterial small subunit ribosomal RNA", at positions 328 to 539 of the family's 1533-position model. The record is from RNAcentral.
ACGCUCGACACCUACGGGGGGCAGCAGUGGGGAAUAUUGCACAAUGGGGGAAACCCUGAUGCAGCGACGCCGCGUGAGCGAAGAAGUAUUUCGGUAUGUAAAGCUCUAUCAGCAGGGAAGAAACUGACGGUACCUGACUAAGAAGCACCGGCUAAAUACGUGCCUGCAGCCGCGGUAAUCUGAGGCGGGCUGGCAAGGC